This 432-nucleotide ribosomal RNA is filed under the name uncultured bacterium. Its description in RNAcentral is "partial 16S ribosomal RNA". It matches the Rfam family "Bacterial small subunit ribosomal RNA", at positions 29 to 507 of the family's 1533-position model. The record is from RNAcentral.
AACGAACGCUGGCGGCAUGCCUAACACAUGCAAGUCGAACGAGACCUUCGGGUCUAGUGGCGCACGGGUGCGUAACGCGUGGGAACCUGCCCUUAGGUUCGGAAUAACUCCCCGAAAGGGGUGCUAAUACCGGAUAAUGUCUUCGGACCAAAGAUUUAUCGCCUUUGGAUGGGCCCGCGUUGGAUUAGCUAGUUGGUAGGGUAAAAGCCUACCAAGGCGACGAUCCAUAGCUGGUCUGAGAGAUGAUCAGCCACACUGGGACUGAGACACGGCCCAGACUCCUACGGGAGGCAGCAGUGGGGAAUAUUGGACCAUGGGCGAAAGCCUGAUCCAGCAAUGCCGCGUGAGUGAUGAAGGCCUUAGGGUUGUAAAGCUCUUUUACCCGGGAUGAUAAUGACAGUACCGGGAGAAUAAGCUCCGGCUAACUCCGUG